GCGGCAGGCCUAACACAUGCAAGUCGAACGGUAACAGGAAGCAGCUUGCUGCUUUGCUGACGAGUGGCGGACGGGUGAGUAAUGUCUGGGAAACUGCCUGAUGGAGGGGGAUAACUACUGGAAACGGUGGCUAAUACCGCAUAACGUCGCAAGACCAAAGAGGGGGACCUUCGGGCCUCUUGCCAUCAGAUGUGCCCAGAUGGGAUUAGCUUGUUGGUGAGGUAACGGCUCACCAAGGCGACGAUCCCUAGCUGGUCUGAGAGGAUGACCAGCCACACUGGAACUGAGACACGGUCCAGACUCCUACGGGAGGCAGCAGUGGGGAAUAUUGCACAAUGGGCGCAAGCCUGAUGCAGCCAUGCCGCGUGUAUGAAGAAGGCCUUCGGGUUGUAAAGUACUUUCAGCGGGGAGGAAGGUGUUGUGGUUAAUAACCGCAGCAAUUGACGUUACCCGCAGAAGAAGCACCGGCUAACUCCGUGCCAGCAGCCGCGGUAAUACGGAGGGUGCAAGCGUUAAUCGGAAUUACUGGGCGUAAAGCGCACGCAGGCGGUCUGUCAAGUCGGAUGUGAAAUCCCCGGGCUCAACCUGGGAACUGCAUUCGAAACUGGCAGGCUUGAGUCUUGUAGAGGGGGGUAGAAUUCCAGGUGUAGCGGUGAAAUGCGUAGAGAUCUGGAGGAAUACCGGUGGCGAAGGCGGCCCCCUGGACAAAGACUGACGCUCAGGUGCGAAAGCGUGGGGAGCAAACAGGAUUAGAUACCCUGGUAGUCCACGCCGUAAACGAUGUCUACUUGGAGGUUGUGCCCUUGAGGCGUGGCUUCCGGAGCUAACGCGUUAAGUAGACCGCCUGGGGAGUACGGCCGCAAGGUUAAAACUCAAAUGAAUUGACGGGGGCCCGCACAAGCGGUGGAGCAUGUGGUUUAAUUCGAUGCAACGCGAAGAACCUUACCUGGUCUUGACAUCCACAGAACUUUCCAGAGAUGGAUUGGUGCCUUCGGGAACUGUGAGACAGGUGCUGCAUGGCUGUCGUCAGCUCGUGUUGUGAAAUGUUGGGUUAAGUCCCGCAACGAGCGCAACCCUUAUCCUUUGUUGCCAGCGGUCCGGCCGGGAACUCAAAGGAGACUGCCAGUGAUAAACUGGAGGAAGGUGGGGA
RNAcentral lists this ribosomal RNA (1150 nucleotides) under Salmonella enterica subsp. enterica serovar Typhi. Its description in RNAcentral is "bacterial SSU rRNA". It matches the Rfam family "Bacterial small subunit ribosomal RNA", at positions 39 to 1179 of the family's 1533-position model. Lineage: Bacteria; Pseudomonadati; Pseudomonadota; Gammaproteobacteria; Enterobacterales; Enterobacteriaceae. The record is from RNAcentral.